RNAcentral lists this long non-coding RNA (3044 nucleotides) under Homo sapiens (human). Its description in RNAcentral is "HSALNT0274037". Lineage: Eukaryota; Metazoa; Chordata; Mammalia; Primates; Hominidae. The record is from RNAcentral.
UAAUGAUGCUUUAUUUGAUUGACAUCACAUCAUCAUAAAUGGCAUCUAAUUUCAGAAAACAAAGUUCAAGUCCGCAAAAAAUGCAUGUACAAAUCUAAGGAGAUAGGUCUACAGAAAUAGACACGUGGCUCUGUGGUCCGUAAGGUGCAGUCAGGAACCUCACAUCCUAGGGUCUGUCUGGGUUCAAUGUUCCAGUGGCGUGAGACAACCAAGGAAACAGACACCCCAAAGAGCCGAUGUUAUUUUUGAAUAUAUAUAUAUGUAUAUACAUGUACAUAUGUAAAUAUGUUGCCUUCAUCUGUAACAGUGCAAACCUCUCACAGCGUGCAAAGCAACAGUGUUUCCUACAGUCAAGUAACUAAAUCAGUGAAAAGUUAUCCACACAGCAUUAUAAAAACAUUAUAUAAUUACAUAGCAGAUAUAUAUGCACGCCUUUGCACGCUGAUUAGAGUUACUUGCAUUGACUUUUGCUUUAGAAGAAAUAAAAAAGGAAAAUCUUUAAAUAGUUCUUCAUCAAAUAAAAGGUAACAAUUUGUAACAGAUUCAACUAUGAACAGGUAUUGCAUCAAUAUGUCUACAAUAGAAAAACAUAAAUAUAUAAAAACAAAGGCAAAGGGGUCAGCUACACAUAUUAACUUACCAAACAUACAUGUUCUAUUGAAAAACUGAUCCCCAUUCACACCCUCCAGGUGGGAGGAUAAGACUAUAAAAAUGGGAAGCCAGCGUGUGGGUGUGGUGUUCUAUUUUAUUAGCAAUUUGGAUGAUAGGAUGUUUUGCUACUGUUUUCAGUUGGCCAAUGACAUAAUAGUGAGAUACUGAUUAUUAAGCUUGGGAAGCUGGUAGGUCAUGGAAAAGAGACCCCAAGAUGCAUAAUGACAGACAUGUAAAAAUGCAAACGUGUAAAAAUGAAAUCACUGCCGUGGUUACUACUAUAUUUUCAGACAAACCAAAUUGUGGUACCAUUCAGAUUAGACGGCGUUCAGGGAUCUCCAGGAGUCCACGGAUAUGGGGUUGUCAACCCUAAACCCACGUACUUCAUAAUUUCCUAACCUUCCCCUUCAAGGCCAGAUGCAUUUCAACCUGCCAGAAGGGGCACAUUAGGGCCCCCUAAGAGGCACGAUUGUUUGAGUAACUUCCCCAGAAACGGACAUGUCUGCUGCUGCCUCAGCUGCAGCACUCUCAUUGGGCAAGCUGUUUUCUAGAGGCUCAUAGGCAGGUGCGGUGAGCAGUGAAGAGUCAAAUUAAUUCUGAGCGCCGGCACUCAGAGCUUCAGAAGCCUCCUUAAAGGGAGAUUUGUCUGGGGGACUAGAGGACUGGCCCCCACACAGGUCACCAGGGAGGGUCCUGCCUCACUGCUCGGGGGCUCACCAGCCAGGCCUCAGCAUCUCUGCCCCACUCACCGGCCCUCAUGGUAAUGGACCACAUAUCCAUUCCCUUCUUGCAGCCUAACAGCCCUCAUGGUUCCCAAGCUCUUCCCCCUUAGAAUUACCCCCAUCAAGUUCCUACGAGAGUCAUUCCAUCAGAGGGCUUAGGUGCUCUCCGAAACCAGAUUUAAAAUCUAGAGGCAUCUCACUGUUUCCUCCUGAAAUUGAUGAGGCACAGCAAGCGGUCUCAGCAAACGAGACCAAAGCUGCUUCUGAGGCAGGGCUGUGGGCCCCAUGCAGUGCAGUUCCUGGCAGACACACCCCUAUUAGGGCCAUGAAGCCACAACACUAAUCCACAAUGGGGAAGGCUCACCUGGAGGGAAUGGGCGUUUUCAACACUGACCUCACUCGAUGUAGUUCUGAGUCAUGAGCAAGGACUUUUGCCUUUUUCCAAUUCUGCAUUUCACCAGGCUAUUCCUAGGUAGGUCUUCCCUAUGUGCAAUGUCUUACAAGAAGAUCUAUUUUGAAAUUAAAUGAGGACUUUUUAUAAAGGCUAAGUUUGACUCUGGUUAAAAACUUAAUCUGGAAGGCAAUGCCAUAUUUGUAUAGAACAAGCACACUUAAAAUUACACUUUAAUAUCUAUCUCAAUUGUGUUUACUAAAAAAGAUCUAGCAGUAAAAAAGGAAUCUCUAAGAAUUAGCAAACUAAAUCCAUGUGUAAAUAAAAUUCAGACCCUUUUCGUUCUUUCGAAGUGGGAAAUAAGAGCUUCAGGGACAUCGCCAAGGAAUCCCACCACCUUUGAGCUGGCAUGGCCUUGGGCAUGAUGUACUGUAACUAUUUACAGAUGAGGAAAAAUGUAGCUUAGAAAGGUUCACUGAUUUUCCCGCAAAAACACAGCCUUUCCAUCGGAAGCCCUGAUUCUAGGAGAAUGAUAUUCUAGAGGGAGUAAACAAUGGCAUUUUCCUAAAGGUGGACUUCUUUGGCCAGAAUCACCUUCUCUGCAUGUAGUCAAACUGCUUCUGAGAGCUGACAAACUCACAGGCAGCCUUGUUGUGAAUUCAAAGACCACUUGACCUCCAGAUAGGCACCUGUUUCUGCCCUAGCGGGAUUUGACUUAUGUGAUUCAGUCAUAGGAAAGAAGCGGUUUCCAACGUGCAAAGUUUACACAGGCCUAACACUGAGGCGGUGAUGCAGCUGUGAGGUCGCAAAACCCAGAGAUGAAAUCUCCCACCACUCGAAGUGCGUUGUUUGAUCAAGUUUCAAAUGCCUCCACAUGCUGAAGUCUACUGACUUCGUCCUAAGCCCUUGGAUUCUGAUGCCAUCUCGUUGGCCUCCUCCCCUCUUGCACAGUUAGCCCAUCUUUCACUGCUGGCCACUCCUGCUGAGCCAACCCUCAAAGGUCGUGCCUGAAUUUCCCUAAGCCCCAUUCUUCCAGGUUCAGUGGAGGCAGCUGAGGUGAUACAGGAGGAAAGGGAAGCUGUUUGUUUGUUUGUUUAAAUCAACCUAGGCAAAAUUAAAGGUAGUCAGAAAGUUAGGAAGAAACAAACAAUAUAUUUCGCUUAAAAUAAGAAGCACGUGGAAAAAGAAAGACUUUGAAAGAGUUGGCCAAUGUCUUCUCACAAUUUUUUGUAUAGCUUUUAAAAAUGUCUGCAUGGCUCAGUGGAGAUGGUGUCCACGUC